UUACAACAACAAACACACAAUAAGACUCGUAUCAGCUAGAAUUGCCCAUCUCCAAAGAAAUCACACACUCGAAUCCAUUUAUGAUCCUAAGUUUCCAUCUGAACAGGAUGGAUUUCAUGGCACAUGCCCUCCAAAAUUCAACACCUUCCAAAUGAAAAUAGAAUCU
Populus euphratica (Euphrates poplar) is the source of this 166-nucleotide long non-coding RNA. RefSeq lists it as uncharacterized. The record is from RefSeq and is a predicted model, not a curated record. The transcript is spliced from 2 exons. NCBI's taxonomy places the organism in Eukaryota, Viridiplantae, Streptophyta, Magnoliopsida, Malpighiales, Salicaceae.